AUUGAACGCUGGCGGCAUGCCUUACACAUGCAAGUCGAACGGUAACGGGCCUUCGGGUGCCGACGAGUGGCGAACGGGUGAGUAAUACAUCGGAACGUGCCCGAUCGUGGGGGAUAACGAGGCGAAAGCUUUGCUAAUACCGCAUACGAUCUACGGAUGAAAGCAGGGGACCGCAAGGCCUUGCGCGGACGGAGCGGCCGAUGGCAGAUUAGGUAGGUGGUGGGAUAAAAGCUUACCAAGCCGACGAUCUGGAGCUGGUCUGAGAGGAUGAUCAUCCACACUGGGACUGAGACACGGCCCAGACUCCUACGGGAGGCAGCAGGGUGGAAUUUUGGACAAUGGGCGCAAGCCUGUUCCAGCCAUGCCGCGUGCAGGAUGAAGGCCUUCGGGUUGUAAACUGCUUUUGUACGGAACGAAAAGCCUUCUUCUAAUACAGGAGGGUCAUGACGGUACCGUAAGAAUAAGCACCGGCUAACUACGUGCCAGCCGCCGCAGUAA
RNAcentral lists this ribosomal RNA (498 nucleotides) under uncultured bacterium. Its description in RNAcentral is "partial 16S ribosomal RNA". It matches the Rfam family "Bacterial small subunit ribosomal RNA", at positions 30 to 523 of the family's 1533-position model. The record is from RNAcentral.